This 516-nucleotide ribosomal RNA is filed under the name uncultured bacterium. RNAcentral's name for it is "partial 16S ribosomal RNA". It matches the Rfam family "Bacterial small subunit ribosomal RNA", at positions 28 to 523 of the family's 1533-position model. The record is from RNAcentral.
GAUGAACGCUGGCGGCGUGCCUAAUACAUGCAAGUCGAGCGAAUGGAUUAAGAGCUUGCUCUUAUGAAGUUAGCGGCGGACGGGUGAGUAACACGUGGGUAACCUGCCCAUAAGACUGGGAUAACUCCGGGAAACCGGGGCUAGUACCGGAUAACAUUUUGAACCGCAUGGUUCGAAAUUGAAAGGCGGCUUCGGCUGUCACUUAUGGAUGGACCCGCGUCGCAUUAGCUAGUUGGUGAGGUAACGGCUCACCAAGGCAACGAUGCGUAGCCGACCUGAGAGGGUGAUCGGCCACACUGGGACUGAGACACGGCCCAGACUCCUACGGGAGGCAGCAGUAGGGAAUCUUCCGCAAUGGACGAAAGUCUGACGGAGCAACGCCGCGUGAGUGAUGAAGGCUUUCGGGUCGUAAAACUCUGUUGUUAGGGAAGAACAAGUGCUAGUUGAAUAAGCUGGCACCUUGACGGUACCUAACCAGAAAGCCACUGGCUAACUCUGUGCCAGCAGCCGCAGUAA